Molecule: ribosomal RNA, 200 nt
Filed under: uncultured bacterium
Lineage: Bacteria
Description: partial 16S ribosomal RNA
Rfam family: Bacterial small subunit ribosomal RNA
Source: RNAcentral
AACAAACGCUGGCGGCAGGCUUCAUACAUGCAAGUCGCGCGAUUAAAGCAGCAAUGCAUAUAGAGCGGCGAACGGGUGAGUAACAGGUGGACAACCUGCCCUCUGGGCGGGGGACAACAGUUGGAACGACUGCUAAUACCGCAUGUGAUUGCAUUUCCUGGGAAGUAGUAAAGAAAGGCGCGUUUGCGCCACCAGAGGAU